Long non-coding RNA from Planococcus citri (citrus mealybug), 1338 nucleotides. RefSeq lists it as uncharacterized. The record is from RefSeq and is a predicted model, not a curated record. NCBI's taxonomy places the organism in Eukaryota, Metazoa, Arthropoda, Insecta, Hemiptera, Pseudococcidae. The transcript is spliced from 3 exons.
GUGUACCUAUAUUAUUAAAGUAAAAAAUGUGCGAAAAAUGGAGAGUAACACUACAUUCGAAAAAAUUUGUCGCAAUAAUUCAUCAAAUCAUAUGUACCUAAGUAUGUAUCACGCACAUUAUUUUAUUAUGCGAGUGCUACGCAGACAGCUUAUACGAGAGAGCCAAACUAAAUUUGAAUGAGAAAAAUUCGUUUAUCGAAAAAAUCACCUUCACAAACAUUUGUACAAUCAAACGAGUAAAAUUUAUGACCACAAUACGGUAGGUUAGGAAGGUAUAGGCAUCGUUAUGAUAUCCAAUUCAACACCUGUGGUUACUCUACCUCUGUCUACCCAUUUGUGCAAUUCGUUCACCAAUGAAACAUUAGGUAGACCUAGACUCCACUACAUCGAACUUGAAUGCAAUACUCGCAGAGGACUUUUGUUUCGUACAUAUCAUCUUCAACUCCGUACAGCAGCGAGUGAUUAAUCAUGAGCACGAAGGAAUCAUUUUUUGUGAACAAUCCUAUCACCCCUGAGAACGAACGCGUGCGUUUAUUCCCAAUAAAUGUGGAAUUCGCCACCAGGAAAGGAUGUUUUUUGUUUGGAAAAUUACAUAUAAUUUAUGUCCUGGCGUUGAUACUGGUCAUUGGGAUACUUGCGAUGUGGCAUCAUAAACAUGAAAAAAAUCAGGAAUUACGCGUAGAACCUUUAUUCGCACAGCGUGCACCUUACGCAGCUGGCAACGAAGAGGAUGAAAACUUGACAAAAUACAAGCGAAAAAGUAGCCAGCUUUCACAAAAUCUAUAUCCAAACGCGAUAGAUGAUGAUCCAGCUGAAGGGGAUACACUUCUGCCAAUAGCUUCGAGUCAGAGUAUAUCCGACGGGAAUGAGUUCAGGACGACAGGUUUUCUUGAAAGUACGUCUGAGGGUAUUAAGGAUAUGCCAACAGGUAUGAUUGAGAAUGAGGUUUAUGGGCGUAAAAUUCAUCCAACAGGUUCGGGUUUGAUUGAGGAGAAUGAGAGUACAUCUUCAGGGAAACAGUUUCAGCCGGCAAAGCAUACAUGUAAGUCUGCAGGGAAUAAGCCUAGGCCAGUAGAUAUUGCAACUGAAAGUAUGUCUGAGGGGAGUAGGUAUGAGCCGGAAAACGUGAUCGAGGAUAACAGCGUAUAUGAUGGGAAUAGGUUUCCGGCAGCAAAUUUGAUUGAAAGUAAGUUUACUGAAGAUACGUGAAAUAUCUAAAUUGAGCAUAACUUUUAGAUUAAAUAUAAUUACGCAUCUAAUAGGUAUUUGUAUAAACAGACAGCAGAUGUAUUCACUCUUGUUUUGGAUUAGAUAGGUAAAUAAAGAUUAUACUACGUU